Molecule: ribosomal RNA, 594 nt
Filed under: Penicillium sp. F8
Lineage: Eukaryota; Fungi; Ascomycota; Eurotiomycetes; Eurotiales; Aspergillaceae
Description: eukaryotic LSU rRNA
Rfam family: 5.8S ribosomal RNA (bases 151-304)
Source: RNAcentral
UCCCACCCGUGUUUAUCGUACCUUGUUGCUUCGGCGGGCCCGCCUCACGGCCGCCGGGGGGCAUCCGCCCCCGGGCCCGCGCCCGCCGAAGACACACAAACGAACUCUUGUCUGAAGAUUGCAGUCUGAGUACUUGACUAAAUCAGUUAAAACUUUCAACAACGGAUCUCUUGGUUCCGGCAUCGAUGAAGAACGCAGCGAAAUGCGAUAAGUAAUGUGAAUUGCAGAAUUCAGUGAAUCAUCGAGUCUUUGAACGCACAUUGCGCCCCCUGGUAUUCCGGGGGGCAUGCCUGUCCGAGCGUCAUUGCUGCCCUCAAGCACGGCUUGUGUGUUGGGCUCUCGCCCCCCGCUUCCGGGGGGCGGGCCCGAAAGGCAGCGGCGGCACCGCGUCCGGUCCUCGAGCGUAUGGGGCUUCGUCACCCGCUCUGUAGGCCCGGCCGGCGCCCGCCGGCGAACACCAUCAAUCUUAACCAGGUUGACCUCGGAUCAGGUAGGGAUACCCGCUGAACUUAAGCAUAUCAAUAAGCGGAGGAAUACCGAGUGAGGGCCCUCUGGGUCAACCUCCCACCCGUGUUUAUCGUACCUUGUUGCUUC